This 497-nucleotide ribosomal RNA is filed under the name uncultured bacterium. RNAcentral's name for it is "partial 16S ribosomal RNA". It matches the Rfam family "Bacterial small subunit ribosomal RNA", at positions 28 to 507 of the family's 1533-position model. The record is from RNAcentral.
GAUGAACGCUGGCGGCGUGCCUAAUACAUGCAAGUCGAGCGAACAGACGAGGAGCUUGCUCCUCUGACGUUAGCGGCGGACGGGUGAGUAACACGUGGAUAACCUACCUAUAAGACUGGGAUAACUUCGGGAAACCGGAGCUAAUACCGGAUAAUAUAUUGAACCGCAUGGUGCAAUAGUGAAAGACGGUUUUGCUGUCACUUAUAGAUGGAUCCGCGCCGCAUUAGUCAGUUGGUAAGGUAACGGCUUACCAAGGCAACGAUGCGUAGCCGACCUGAGAGGGUGUUCGGCCACACUGGAACUGAAACCCCGUCCAGACUCCUACGGCAGGCAGCAGUAGGGAAUCUUACGCACUGGGCGAAAGCCUGACGGAGCAACGCCGCGUGAGUUAUGACGGCCUUCGGAUCGUAAAACUCUGUUAUUAGGGAAGAACAAAUUUGUACGUAACUAUGCACGUCUUGACGGUACCUAAUCAGAAAGCCACGGCUAACUACGUG